AUUUAAAGGCGGCAGCAGAGGGUAAUUAUACGGGAGGCAGCAGUGGGGAAUACUGGACAACGGGCGAAAGCCUGAUCCAGCAAUGCCGCGUGAGUGAUGAAGGCCUUAGGGUUGUAAAGCUCUUUACCCGGGAGAUAAUGACGUACC
Molecule: ribosomal RNA, 147 nt
Filed under: uncultured beta proteobacterium
Lineage: Bacteria; Pseudomonadati; Pseudomonadota; Betaproteobacteria
Description: partial 16S ribosomal RNA
Rfam family: Bacterial small subunit ribosomal RNA
Source: RNAcentral